GCGGGUGUGGCGGAAUGGCAGACGCGCCAGGUUUAGGUCCUGGUGGGGGAGACCCCGUGGAGGUUCGAGUCCUCUCACCCGCA
RNAcentral lists this transfer RNA (83 nucleotides) under Gaiellales bacterium. Its description in RNAcentral is "tRNA-Leu". It matches the Rfam family "tRNA". From Rfam's summary of the family: Transfer RNA (tRNA) molecules are approximately 80 nucleotides in length. The record is from RNAcentral. Lineage: Bacteria; Bacillati; Actinomycetota; Thermoleophilia; Gaiellales.